RNAcentral lists this non-coding RNA (29 nucleotides) under Mus musculus (house mouse). The record is from RNAcentral. Lineage: Eukaryota; Metazoa; Chordata; Mammalia; Rodentia; Muridae.
UGACUAAACUGAUGCUUUCUCUCUAGUGG